Molecule: ribosomal RNA, 253 nt
Filed under: uncultured bacterium
Lineage: Bacteria
Description: partial 16S ribosomal RNA
Rfam family: Bacterial small subunit ribosomal RNA
Source: RNAcentral
UACAGAGGGUGCAGGCGUUGUUCGGAAUUAUUGGGCGUAAAGGGAGUGUAGGCGGUUCGUUAAGUCUUCUGUGAAAUCUACGGGCUUAGCCUGUAACGUGCAGAGGAAACUAGCGGGCUUGAGUGUCGGAGAGGAUAGGGGAAUUCCCGGUGUAGAGGUGAAAUUCGUAGAGAUCGGGAGGAACACCAGUGGCGAAGGCGCCUAUCUGGCUGACAACUGACGCUGAGGAGCGAAAGUGUGGGGAGCGAACAGG